RNAcentral lists this ribosomal RNA (264 nucleotides) under uncultured bacterium. RNAcentral describes it as "partial small subunit ribosomal RNA". It matches the Rfam family "Bacterial small subunit ribosomal RNA", at positions 26 to 285 of the family's 1533-position model. The record is from RNAcentral.
AGGACGAACGCUGGCGGCGUGCCUCAUACAUGCAAGUGGAGCGACGAACCAGGAUUUAUCCUGGGGCAAAGCCGCGAACGGGUGAGUAACACGUGGGUUACCUGCCCCGAUGAUUGGGACAACCCGAGGAAACUCGGGCUAAUACCAAAUGUGUUCUUGGUCGUGAUGACCAAGAAGAAAGGAAGCCCCGGCCUCCGCAUCGGGAUGGGCCCGCGGCCCAUUAGCUAGUUGGCGGGUAAUGGCCCACCAAGACUGUGAUCGGUA